This 494-nucleotide ribosomal RNA is filed under the name uncultured bacterium. RNAcentral's name for it is "bacterial SSU rRNA". It matches the Rfam family "Bacterial small subunit ribosomal RNA", at positions 56 to 561 of the family's 1533-position model. The record is from RNAcentral.
UGCAAGUCGAACGGAGCUGAGAGGAGCUUGCUUUUCUUAGCUUAGUGGCGAACGGGUGAGUAACGCGUGAGUAACCUGCCCUGGAGUGGGGGACAACAGUUGGAAACGACUGCUAAUACCGCAUAAGCCCACGGCCCGGCAUCGGGCUGAGGGAAAAGGAUUUAUUCGCUUCAGGAUGGACUCGCGUCCAAUUAGCUAGUUGGUGAGGUAACGGCCCACCAAGGCGACGAUUGGUAGCCGGACUGAGAGGUUGAACGGCCACAUUGGGACUGAGACACGGCCCAGACUCCUACGGGAGGCAGCAGUGGGGGAUAUUGCACAAUGGGGGAAACCCUGAUGCAGCGACGCCGCGUGGAGGAAGAAGGUUUUCGGAUUGUAAACUCCUGUCGUUAGGGACGAUAAUGACGGUACCUAACAAGAAAGCACCGGCUAACUACGUGCCAGCAGCCGCGGUAAAACGUAGGGUGCAAGCGUUGUCCGGAAUUACUGGGUGU